This 253-nucleotide ribosomal RNA is filed under the name uncultured bacterium. RNAcentral's name for it is "partial 16S ribosomal RNA". It matches the Rfam family "Bacterial small subunit ribosomal RNA", at positions 524 to 776 of the family's 1533-position model. The record is from RNAcentral.
UACGUAGGGGGCAAGCGUUGUCCGGAUUUAUUGGGCGUAAAGAGCGUGUAGGCGGCCAGACAGGUCAGCUGUGAAAACUCGAGGCUCAACCUCGAGACGUCGGUUGAAACCGUCUGGCUAGAGUCCGGAAGAGGAGAGUGGAAUUCCCGGUGUAGCGGUGAAAUGCGCAGAUAUCGGGAAGAACACCCGUGGCGAAGGCGGCCCUCUGGGACGGUACUGACGCUGAGACGCGAAAGCGUGGGGAGCGAACAGG